GGUGAAAUUGCUUUGCUGAACUUCUGCUCGCGGGUUUUUGCAGAGGGGGUGGUGGUGGGAGGAGAACCGGGGGCGUCUGAUGGGCCCGGAGCGGCGCGCCGAUCUCGCCUGAGCAACUUUUGGAGAACUUUUUUCCCAGCCCUCGUCGGUGGCAGGCUUCUGGCAGACAACUGAGACCGGAAGACACUGAGGCCGAUGGUGAGGCUGAUGCAGAAGAUGAUUCUGUCGAUGAAGUGACAACAGAAAACAUACGACCGAGACCACAAGGGUCCUCUCCAAUAUACGAGUACUGCAUAGAAGACGAAUAUUUUAAUAAAAAGG
Long non-coding RNA from Heteronotia binoei (common prickly gecko), 321 nucleotides. RefSeq lists it as uncharacterized. The transcript has 3 exons. NCBI's taxonomy places the organism in Eukaryota, Metazoa, Chordata, Lepidosauria, Squamata, Gekkonidae. The record is from RefSeq and is a predicted model, not a curated record.